Molecule: ribosomal RNA, 521 nt
Filed under: uncultured bacterium
Lineage: Bacteria
Description: bacterial SSU rRNA
Rfam family: Archaeal small subunit ribosomal RNA
Source: RNAcentral
AACCUCCGCAAUGUGAGAAAUCGCGACGGGGGGAUCCCAAGUGCCAUUCUUAACGGGAUGGCUUUUCAUUAGUGUAAAGAGCUUUUGGAAUAAGAGCUGGGCAAGACCGGUGCCAGCCGCCGCGGUAACACCGGCAGCUCUAGUGGUAACAAUUUUUAUUGGGCCUAAAGCGUCCGUAGCCGGUUUAAUAAGUCUCUGGUGAAAUCCUGUAGCUUAACUGUGGGAAUUGCUGGAGAUACUAUUAGACUUGAGACCGGGAGAGGUUAGAGGUACUCCCAGGGUAGAGGUGAAAUUCUGUAAUCCUGGAAGGACCGCCUGUUGCGAAGGCGUCUAGCUGGAACGGUUCUGACGGUGAGGGACGAAAGUUAGGGGCGCGAACCGGAUUAGAUACCCGGGUAGUCCUAACUGUAAACGAUGCGGACUUGGUGUUGGGGUGGCUUUGAGCUGCUCCAGUGCCGAAGGGAAGCUGUUAAGUCCGCCGCCUGGGAAGUACGGUCGCAAGACUGAAACUUAAAGGAAUU